GGCUUGCCUGGGUCUCCAGCUUGCAGAUGGCAGAUCGUGGGACUUCAUGGGACUUCUCAGACUCCAUAACCAAGGCUGAGGAGCUACAGUCUAAAUGCAUAUGCAUGUUUGGAACCGAAGUCAGCCAUCUUCCCUAGGACAAAUCUUUACUCUUCUAAAGAAGGACAAGAAUAAGGUCUACUUUCAGCUAACCAUUUAUAAGGUUCAGUUUUCAUUGGAUCAAAGGAAUAUAAUCUAAUACUUUUUAAAUGGGGUCAAAACAGUAUUAUAAGGAAACUAUUUACUGCAAAUAUUUAUAAUUGUGUAAGGAGAAUCAUUCUUUUUAAAAUCAAGUUGUGUUUUAGCUUUAGAAGUCUUUACUGGAUCUUUUAAAAUCACAAGUAUUUGAGAAUCCAUCCCCACAAAAAUUAAAAAAUACUAUAUUAGUUAUUUUAAACAGUAUUCAUUACUUUUACUGUUUAUGUUAUAAUAAACUUAUGUAUAUAAACAUUUGAAUAUGCAUGGUACAAAGUACAAGUACAGAACAUGUAGUAAGUAGUAUGUGCAUGUGUGUGUGUGUGUGUGUGUGUGCAUAUCGUAUAAAAAUAUGAGAAAAAUUUUACUUAUAUAAAAACAUAUAUAUAAAUAAGUGUUCAGGAGAGUUUUUGAGAAUCUGCUUUACAUACUGCAAUUUUGAAUGAAAAUUAUGGAUAUUAAUUUCCUGAUUAAAGGAACUCUGUGUCUUCUCAUGAUGAGUCCUAAAAAUAAGCCAAAAUACUACUUAAUCUCCAUCACUUUUUUUCUUAA
RNAcentral lists this small RNA (786 nucleotides) under Pan troglodytes (chimpanzee). RNAcentral describes it as "retained intron". Lineage: Eukaryota; Metazoa; Chordata; Mammalia; Primates; Hominidae. The record is from RNAcentral.